GGAUUGGCAAUGGUACUGUUUGGAUUGAUUCCGUGUUCGGUUCUUGUACCUAAUUGAUCAUUAAUAUGUCCACUGAAUUUAAUAUUUUCUGUUUCGUUUUGGUAUAUACCAUUAUUAUAGCCAUUAUGGUUCUUAUUAUGUUCGUAUAACGCACUGUUACUGUCACUAUUGUCACUGGUGUCACUGGUGUCAGUAUCCAAAUAUGAAGUACUACAACUUUCAUCAGUUGAUCCUAUACUAUUAUUAUUAUUAUUUGUAAAAUUGUUAUUAUAAUAAAUGUUAUUAUUAUCUUGAUGUGAUGAAUUAUUAUGUAUAUGUGUAUUUUUUUUAAUCCUAUAAUAUUUUCACUUGAUGAUACAUUAAUAAACUUUUUUAACUUUUUAAAUAAAAUACCAACAAUACUUAUAUUGUUAAUAAAAUGGUGUAUACCUAUACUUACUUUUCUAUUAUGUACAUAAAAACUUUUUUUUUUUUUUGUGUGUUUUUUUUUUUUUUUUUUUUUCUUUUUGUACAUAAAGUUGUGUGUUUGCAUCGGUAUUGUCGUACUCAACAGGAUGCAUGCCCCGAUUUAAAUCUGCAUAAUUAUCAAUCAUAUUUGAUCGAUCUGCAUAAUUAUCUACAAUGUUUGGCCUCUUUGUUAUAUUCAUACGUUCGUCCAUACGUCCAUCCACACGUUCGUCCACACGUCCAUCCAUACGUUCGUCCAUACGUCCAUCCACACGUUCGUCUAUCGAUUGUUGUAUUUUAUUGGACUGACCUAUUACAUCCACAUAUUGUUGAUUCGAAAUAUUAAUAGAAUCUAAUGUUUUAUUUUUUAUUUGUGUAUGUUCCUCACUUUUACAUUCAUUUUCAUAAGUUUUUAAUUUUAAUAAAACAUAUAAUAUGUAUUUAUAAUUAAUAUUA
RNAcentral lists this long non-coding RNA (903 nucleotides) under Piliocolobus tephrosceles (Ugandan red Colobus). RNAcentral describes it as "lncRNA (ENSPTEG00000012268.1)". Lineage: Eukaryota; Metazoa; Chordata; Mammalia; Primates; Cercopithecidae. The record is from RNAcentral.